This 440-nucleotide ribosomal RNA is filed under the name uncultured bacterium. RNAcentral describes it as "partial 16S ribosomal RNA". It matches the Rfam family "Bacterial small subunit ribosomal RNA", at positions 338 to 795 of the family's 1533-position model. The record is from RNAcentral.
CCUACGGGAGGCAGCAGUGGGGAAUAUUGCACAAUGGGGGAAACCCUGAUGCAGCAACGCCGCGUGAGCGAUGAAGGCCUUCGGGUCGUAAAGCUCUGUCCUAAGGGAAGAAUACUGACGGUACCUUAGGAGGCAGCCCCGGCUAACUACGUGCCAGCAGCCGCGGUAAUACGUCGGGGGCUAGCGUUAUCCGUAAUUACUGGGGGUAAAGGGUUCGUAGGCGGCCCUUCAAGUCAGAGGUGAAAGGCUACGGCUCAACCGAAGUACGCCUUUGAAAGUGUUGGGCUUGAGUGCAGGAGCGGAGAGUUGAAUUUUCAGUGUGGUGUUGAAAAGCGUAGAUGUUUGGAGGAACACCAGUUGCGAGGGCGGCUGUCUGGACUGUAACUGGCGCUGAGGCACGCAAGCGUGGGGAGCGAACAGGAUUAGAUACCCGAGUAGAC